RNAcentral lists this ribosomal RNA (300 nucleotides) under uncultured fungus. RNAcentral describes it as "eukaryotic LSU rRNA". The stretch from base 1 to 52 matches the Rfam family "5.8S ribosomal RNA", at positions 103 to 154 of the family's 154-position model. The record is from RNAcentral. Lineage: Eukaryota; Fungi.
AACGCACCUUGCGCUCCCUGGUAUUCCGGGGAGCAUGCCUGUUUGAGUGUCGUGAAAUCAUCAUGGUCAUGAUCUUUAAUUAAUCAUGGCUUGGUUUUGGAGGUUAUGUUGGCUUUUUAUUAAGUUGACUCCUCUUAAAUACAUUAGCUCAGUGUUUAAUGCUUAGAGCGGUUCACGGUGUGAUAAUUAUCUACGCUGUGGUGCGCUUGCUUCUGUGGAGACGCGCUUUCAAACCGUCCGAAAGGACAACUUUCAUCGAACUUUGACCUCAAAUCAGGUGGGACUACCCGCUGAACUUAA